Salarias fasciatus (jewelled blenny) is the source of this 2449-nucleotide long non-coding RNA. RefSeq lists it as uncharacterized. NCBI's taxonomy places the organism in Eukaryota, Metazoa, Chordata, Actinopteri, Blenniiformes, Blenniidae. The record is from RefSeq and is a predicted model, not a curated record. The transcript has 6 exons.
CCGUCCUGUUUUGUUUGCACGCUGCUGCACUCCCGACUGCUUCCCGGCAUUCCUCGCCAUGAGAAUCAAUCUGUACAGUUUACGUUCCGCUGACAGGUUUGACCUUCGGUUGACCUUGGAGACAGUCGCCUCCGCUGAUCGGCGCUCCGACACCAGAAAGACCAAACAACCAAAAAAUCAUCAAACAUGGGGGGAAUAAAUUGGCUGCGGUACCGCUCCUCCAUGCAGCAGUACUUCCAGGUGUGGAGCAGGUAGGAGCUGUGUCGCUGUGUGUGUCGCUGUGUGUGUCGCUGUGUGUCGCUGUGUGUCGCUGUGUGUGUCGCUGUGUGUCGCUGUGUGGGUGUGUUCCUGUGGCGAACAGCCGAGGUUCCAUGUUUGGAACCUUCAGGCCUUCUGGCUUCUCCUGUGGCUCAUGGUGCCUGACAUGCUUUGCUUUUUUGUUGGUUUGACAAUGCUGCUUUGUGUUUUUGUGCCUUUGUUGUGUCUUUUGUUUGUUGUGCCGUCUGCUGAAGUGUCAGGCAGUUAAAGAGGAUAUUGCAACUGUUUUUUUUCUGGUGUGUCAUGGUGCACCCUGGGAGUUUGGGACGGGGAAUGCAGGAUUGAGAUGUCGGCGUUGUGGUUUAUUUUGAUGUUGUGGGGUCGGUGUGUGAGAACUGUGAACAAGUUAACCCUGAAUUGAAAGAGGAGUAACUCCCACCUGGUUCAGAGGGAAAAGGAAGUGAACCUCUCGGUUACCAACGUCUCAUGGUGCGUUCACACCGGACGCGAAUAGCGCGGCGAGAGCAGCCGAGUUACAGAGAAAAUAUAUGGUUUUCGCGCGGCCAGGAAGCGUUGAGCGGUCACGCGGCGCAAAUUCAGCGAAUUGAGCGGCGGAGCGAACCGCUCUAAUCGCGCCGCUGAAAGUUGGGAAUGUUGAACUUUUGAGCGAAUUCGUGAGCGGUGAACCAAUCGCAGAGCCGCUCUAUAUGACGUCAUUUAUGACAUACUGGAGCCCCGGGAAACUCCAGAAAUGGAUGAGAAACUGAUCACAGCGGUCUGCGUCGCCCUGAGCCCAUCGUCGUAUUUUUAUCGGGACAGGAAUAAAAAGGAGCUUGGAGGAAGAUCAGUGAGGAGGUCGGGUCCCGGGUAAACUGAGGAUAGAGACUGUGGUGAAACAGUGUUGACCGUCAGUUAAACAGUGAGUUCACUGAGAGGUCGGGUCCCCGGUGGAAUGCGAGCGCCGAAGCAGGACAGCAGCUCGUCAAACUGACCCGGGAGAGAUGGAAGUCCCGCUGAAAGCGUCCUUCAUCCCGAUGCAGCUCCUGGAGUAAAUGGUGAAACUCUCCAUACUCUGAACGCCUCUGCAAAAUACUAUGAAUCCAGACACGUCGCCUGGACUCGCCACGACGCCGUUGUCGGGCUUUAUCAAGCAAUUAAGCAGACCGCCGGCAGCAGAGACGUGAAUUCAGAGGCAGCCGCUGUUGGGUCACAAAAUGCACACGCCGCCAACCAGGGGCGAAUUGCGCCGCGCUACUCGCGUCCGGUGUAAACGCACCAUCAGAGGCGCUGGAACUAUCCGGUCCGGAGCAGGUUUUCACCUCAAACCCUGAAGUUUCUCUGCAGCUCCGCCUCCUUCCAGCCACAGAGCAGCCGUUUCUCAGUCCGGGUUAUUCUCUGUACUUGUGAGCUCACGGACUCCUGAAACGUCAUCAGUCGAAGACCAAGUACUGAUCCAAGUACGCAUCUCACCGAGUACACAAGAAAUACCUGGAUGUGGACUGACUCCGCCCACUUUCACAUUUCGCAAGACAUGAAGGAGGAGUGACCAGACAGCGGCUUAUUUGAAAAUAUGUUCCGAGUUCGGACCGCGGCGACCCGGCGCUCGGCUGCUUCCUGUCGGCCGUGACUCUCGCUGUGGUUGAACAGCGAGAUGUGGAUCGUUUACUAGACUUUGGGAUCUCUUCAGGUUCGGCUGACGCCAAACAAGCUAAUCUGAAGGGCUAAUCCAAGCUGGUCGUCAGUCUGGGGUCAUAAAGGUAACUGGGUUCUGCAGGUCUGAGUCUGCACCUCCACCCAGCAGAAACCAGCUGGUUCAUGGAGGAUCUGAGCAGGACCAGGGCCUCGUCACAUCUCAGGUAACUGUGUGGCUCUACAGGAGGAAACAUUCUGACGUGGCUCCAUCAGCGGCUAAAGCAGGAUGGAGUAAUGCCUGAUGGUUCCGGGUUCCUCCUGUCUGAGAGCGGGUCACUCUGAGAUGAUGUUCAUCCACAACACUGAGGACGGUCCGGCAGAACCCCGCCGGAACCCCGAGCUCCGAACUUCAUCCUGGGGCUUUUUCCUGGAGCAGCAUCUGCAGCAGCUGAACAGUGUUCUCCCUGGAGAACCGUGAAGACUGGAGUCAUAUGACCUCCAGGAUCGACACCUCAUCGUUGAUCUGUGCAUGUUGUUGUUGUUCCUGGUAAAUAAAAGA